CCAAAGGCUCUUUUCAGAGCCGUCCACGUUUUCACAUGAAAGAGUU
Molecule: non-coding RNA, 46 nt
Organism: Felis catus (domestic cat)
Lineage: Eukaryota; Metazoa; Chordata; Mammalia; Carnivora; Felidae
Source: Rfam